GACGAACGCUGGCGGCGUGCUUAACACAUGCAAGUCGAACGGAAAGGCCCUGCUUUUGUGGGGUGCUCGAGUGGCGAACGGGUGAGUAACACGUGAGUAACCUGCCCUUGACUUUGGGAUAACUUCAGGAAACUGGGGCUAAUACCGGAUAGGAGCUCCUGCUGCAUGGUGGGGGUUGGAAAGUUUCGGCGGUUGGGGAUGGACUCGCGGCUUAUCAGCUUGUUGGUGGGGUAGUGGCUUACCAAGGCUUUGACGGGUAGCCGGCCUGAGAGGGUGACCGGCCACAUUAGGACUGAGAUACGGCCCAGACUCCUACGGGAGGCAGCAGUGGGGAAUAUUGCACAAUGGGCGGAAGCCUGAUGCAGCAACGCCGCGUGCGGGAUGACGGCCUUCGGGUUGUAAACCGCUUUCGCCUGUGACGAAGAGUGAGUGACGGUAAUGGGUAAAGAAGCACCGGCUAACUACGUG
RNAcentral lists this ribosomal RNA (468 nucleotides) under uncultured bacterium. Its description in RNAcentral is "partial 16S ribosomal RNA". It matches the Rfam family "Bacterial small subunit ribosomal RNA", at positions 28 to 507 of the family's 1533-position model. The record is from RNAcentral.